This 66-nucleotide transfer RNA is filed under the name Sigmella normalis. RNAcentral's name for it is "tRNA-Met". The record is from RNAcentral. Lineage: Eukaryota; Metazoa; Arthropoda; Insecta; Blattodea; Blattellidae.
AGAAAAGUAAGCUAAAUUCAAGCUAAUGGGUUCAUACCCCACUUAUAGAGACAUCUCUCUUUUCUA